Non-coding RNA from Prunus avium (sweet cherry), 685 nucleotides. The record is from RefSeq and is a predicted model, not a curated record. NCBI's taxonomy places the organism in Eukaryota, Viridiplantae, Streptophyta, Magnoliopsida, Rosales, Rosaceae.
UUUUGUAUUUUACUGGGUAUGGGUCUCUCGUCGACUUGAAAUGUGAUGUUUAAUUUCCUUCAAUUCUCACAUUAGUCCUUCAAUGAAAUCAUUAAACACUUUCUGCUUUUCCGCAGGCUUGUCCAAAAUUAAUUGACAGGUUUGAAGAGAAGGAGGAAAAUGUCAAGGUAAACCAGAAUGAAUGUCAGUGGAUCUUCUCGCUUCACAGGAUUAAUUAUUUUGCUGCAGAUGGAUGUUUUUAAUACAUUCAUUGAACUGUUGCAGCAAACUGAAAAUGUUACAAAAGGACAGAUUGAGAUAAAUGAACAGAGGUUGGCAUGUCUUCUGUUUUGAAAGAACUUGUGGUGGUCUUGCCAGAUUUCCUGGCUGAUCACAUGGGUUCACUCAUUCCAGGAAUUGAAAAGGCAUUAAGUGAUAGGUCUUUUACCUCCAAUUUAAAGAUUGAAGCUCUUAUAUUUGUACGAUUGGUGCUGGCUUCGAAUUCUCCUUCUGUGAUUUCCAUCUUUAUAUCAAGGAGGUAAAUGAAUGUGCUAUUUCUUGCAUGGAUCUUGUUGUGUCAACAUUUGGUGAUAACCUUGAUGUUGAACUGCUUGUAUGCCUUCCUGUACUUGUCGAUCGGAUGGGAAAUGAGAUCACUCAACUUACAGCUGUGAAGCAUUUGCUGUCAUUGCUGCUUCUCCACUGA